Molecule: long non-coding RNA, 1853 nt
Filed under: Lathyrus oleraceus (garden pea)
Lineage: Eukaryota; Viridiplantae; Streptophyta; Magnoliopsida; Fabales; Fabaceae
Description: Pisum sativum (pea) long non-coding RNA (PSAT_LNC011610)
Source: RNAcentral
ACCGUUACAGAUGCAAACAUUGAAGGAUUCAAACAUAGAAGUAUCACAUUAGGAUACCUCAACCUCACAUGUCUGUACCUCUUUUGCUUGCUUUCAAAUUCAUCGCUGGAACCACAAUAACUCCGCCGCGCCGGAGCUCAUUACAGGCGGAGACGGAGCAUGAAACCACAUCAAACCUACACCGCUCCACUCGUUUCGUCAUUCUCUAUUCGAAUUCAAUAUCAAUUUUGCAUGAUUCUUGCUAUAACUCCCAAAUCAAACCUUUCUAACCAUGAACCCUAAGUUAUAACAUCAUAAAUUAAAUCCUCUUGUGGAGGAAUCAAAGUCUCUAGGGUUAGGGUUAUGAUUCCUCAAGUACUAAUAUACAUAGUGGUAACCGAUUUGAAGCAGCACGAAACAAAAUUUAGACUUACCUAUCGGAUAAGAUGAAGGUUGACAACAACGAAGAAGGCGCACAUGUACGAUACUCUAUUCUAAACCUCUUCCUUCCUUGCUACUCUUCUUUUGUUGCUUCCCUCGUAUUACUCUAAAUUCAGUGAAUCGUUCCGAGUCUUGGUGAGUGAAGAGAGAAGUUGAAGGAGUGUGAUUCCAAGGGAGAGUGAUCAAGAGAUAGUGAAUGUGAGUUGAAUUCAAAUUUUGUUGAGAGAAAUAUGGAGGUAGAAGUGUGAGCAAUGUGAAAUUUGGUGAAAAAUGAUUCUUCAAGAAUAACCGAUGAUUGGUAAAAUGAUGAUUUAUAUAAGGGUGAUGCUUUAGAGGGUGGGUUAGGGAAUUUAAUCCAUGUUAGUUAGAUUCUGUUGAUAAGAUGGAAAUUCUGUUAAUGAAUUCAUUGAGCAAUUCUGAAAUUAAUUAUGAAUCUGGAAAUUGAGGGGCUGCUGUGAGUUUAGCUUGAAUUUGUUUCACGUGAAAAAUUUCUGGCAAUUUGAAUAUAAGUUUGAAUGAGCUGGCAAAGAUUAAUGGUCUAAAUUCUGUUAAUAGAUUUGCCCUGCUAUAUUCUACUAAAACUGAUAUGUUAGAAACUAGUGAUGUGGUUAGUAUUAGGUCUGAUCAUACUAUUAAUCAUUGUUAAUGAUGUGAAACUCUUAACCUGGUCUGUUAGGAUUGGGAUGCAAUUAAUUUGAAACUGACUUGACUAUCAUGUUGAUGUACUGCUAUGAAUGAAUUUUCUACCUAUUGAAUAGUUGUGCAGGUGCAGGUGUAACCGGUUACCACGCCGAAAAUUGGGGCUCUAGGCUGCAAUAUGGGGCUACACGAAGCAGGUGUAACUGAUUACCGGAACCGGUUACCCACACGAAGGUUGGUAGUUCCUGGGUGCAAACAAGGCUAUGUGAAACAUGCGUAACCGGUUACCUACAUGAUAAUAAGGGUUCUGGGUUGCAUGAUGAGGUUAUAUGCAGUAGACGUAACCGAUUACCGUAACCGAUUAUCCAUACAAAAAAUGGUGGUUCUAGGCUUAACUUUGUGCUAACUUGAAGGUGCAUCAUGGAGAACGGAAUGGUAGCUUCCAAGUUCAAAUUUCCUUCCUUUUUCUACUUGAUUCAAGCUAUGUAUGGUGAUGCUAUGUAUUUAUUAAGUAACAUGAGAAUGUAAAUGCAAAUGCAAACUAUACUUAUGUAAUGAACAUUAAUCAAUCCAAUUUUAUGAUUUUAGAUUAAAUCAAAUUUCACUCUUUUUGUAUGAAACGUAUGAAAAACUCUUAUGAAGUGCAAGUUUCUAUAAUUGAAUGUAAAUAUUUUCCACUUUAAAUCGAUUCUAAAAUGCCCUUUAUUAAUGCAAUGCAAUGAAAAACUCAUAAGUGACAAAUGACCAAUGAAAUGGAUUAACAUGUAGACUAUAAAUCAAGCUUAAGACAAUCA